This 350-nucleotide transfer-messenger RNA is filed under the name Qingshengfaniella alkalisoli. Its description in RNAcentral is "Alphaproteobacteria transfer-messenger RNA". It matches the Rfam family "Alphaproteobacteria transfer-messenger RNA". Rfam says of the family: Bacterial tmRNA, also known as 10Sa RNA or SsrA, is named for its dual tRNA and mRNA-like properties. Its role is to liberate the mRNA from a stalled ribosome. Lineage: Bacteria; Pseudomonadati; Pseudomonadota; Alphaproteobacteria; Rhodobacterales; Paracoccaceae. The record is from Rfam by way of RNAcentral.
CCGCUUGAAAGCCGGCGCUGUGCCUCUUAUCUUCAGGGUGUUCUUCGGAACUAUGGUGAUAAACGCGCUCGUAAUAAGCGGAUCGGACCCGGGGGCGGUACCCGGCGGCUCCACCAAACAUCCCUUGUUGGGGGAUCUUGGGGCCGAAACAGGAUCGACGAACGUCUAAAGGGGUUAGCUUUCACUCGGUGAGGUACCACCGUUAUCGGUCCGAUAAAGCAUAAUUGCCAACAACAAUCGUGCUCCGGUCGCAGUUGCUGCUUAAGCAGUAACCAAGAUCGAAAUUUAAGCCCAGUCCUCUAGCAAGGGCUGGCGGGGUCCGCAGGCACCUGGCAACAGAAGCCUGCACU